CCUACGUGCGGCAGCAGUGGGGGAUAUUGGACAAUGGGGGAAACCCUGAUCCAGCGACGCCGCGUGAGUGAAGAAGUAUUUCGGUAUGUAAAGCUCUAUCAGCAGGGAAGAAAGAAAUGACGGUACCUGAGUACGAAGCCCCGGCUAACUACGUGCCAGCAGCCGCGGUAAUACGUAGGGGGCAAGCGUUAUCCGGAAUUACUGGGGGUAAAGGGAGCGUAGACGGUAAUGCAAGUCUGGAGUGAAAGGCGGGGGCCCAACCCCCGGACUGGUCUGGAAACGGUGUAACUGGAGUGCAGGAGAGGCAGGCGGAAUUCCUAGUGUAGCGGUGAAAUGCGUAGAUAUUAGGAGGAACACCAGUGGCGAAGGCGGCCUGCUGGACUGUAACUGACGUUGAGGCUCGAAAGCGUGGGGAGCAAACAGGAUUAGAUACCCGAGUAGUC
RNAcentral lists this ribosomal RNA (443 nucleotides) under uncultured bacterium. RNAcentral's name for it is "partial 16S ribosomal RNA". It matches the Rfam family "Bacterial small subunit ribosomal RNA", at positions 338 to 795 of the family's 1533-position model. The record is from RNAcentral.